GAUGAAGAACGUAGCGAAAUGCGAUAAGUAAUGUGAAUUGCAGAAUUCAGUGAAUCAUCGAAUCUUUGAACGCACAUUGCGCCCGCCAGUAUUCUGGCGGGCAUGCCUGUUCGAGCGUCAUUUCAACCAUCAAGCCCCCGGGCUUGUGUUGGGGACCUGCGGCUGCCGCAGGCCCUGAAAAGCAGUGGCGGGCUCGCUGUCACACCGAGCGUAGUAGAUUUUAUCUCGCUCUGGGCGUGCUGCGGGUUCCGGCCGUUAAACCACCCUUUGAACCCAAGGUUGACCUCGGAUCAGGUAGGAAGACCCGCUGAACUUAAGCAUAUCAAUAAGCGGAGGA
Molecule: unclassified non-coding RNA, 337 nt
Filed under: soil metagenome
Description: partial contains 5.8S ribosomal RNA, internal transcribed spacer 2, and large subunit ribosomal RNA
Rfam family: 5.8S ribosomal RNA (bases 1-120)
Source: RNAcentral